AGUUGAACCUCCACAUGGAGAAAGAAAGACUGAAGAGGGCUGAAGAGCUGGAUUCCCUUCGAGGUCGACAAAGUCAACUCCAGGUGAAGAGGCUGCAGCUGUUGUUGACCACUCGGGGAACGCUGUAUAAUCACGAGCUGAAGAAGAAGGAGCAAGAGCUACGGAAGCUCAAAGAGAGAGUCCAGCUGGGAGAACGGAGGGACAAAAGGGC
RNAcentral lists this long non-coding RNA (211 nucleotides) under Vombatus ursinus (common wombat). Its description in RNAcentral is "lncRNA (ENSVURG00010003270.1)". The record is from RNAcentral. Lineage: Eukaryota; Metazoa; Chordata; Mammalia; Diprotodontia; Vombatidae.